CUCCCUCUCUGCCCUAGCCACACAGGUUCCUCAAUGUUUCUGUACCACACCAGAUUCUAUGCUGCCCCAGGGCCUUUGCACAGCUGUGCCUCUGACUGGAACACACUCCCGGCAGAUAUUCAGGGCACUCACUACAUCCCUUCACUUAAGCCUCUGUAUAAAUGCUGCUCCUUUUUAUUGUCACUGUCCUUCCUGUCUGUCAUGACAGAAGGCGUCAGCUCCAGAGGCAGGCCAUUGGGGCAUCUUCUCCCCUGCACUGUCCCAGGGUCUGGCGCAGGUUCCAGCAGAUGCUUAGGCAGCCCUUUCAGGAGACUGGAAAGGGACCCUGCACAGGUAUGGAGCUCGACUGCGUGCCAGGCCGUCCCACUGAGGGAAGAGGUGGGGUCCGGGGCCUCUCUGUGGGGGACUGUGGGGUCCAUUGAUCCAAUCCUUGAGGAUCGGAAGCUCCUGGGGAGCACUGACAGCCCCUCAGCCCCGGCACCGAGGUCCUGGGCCCCACUGUGCCCCUUCCUGGCCCUCGGCUGCCUCCGCACCAGGACCACCCCAGUCCUGACAGCCACACGGGUCCUCAACCUUGUGGGACGUCCCCCGGGGCACCCUAAGUUCGUGGGUCCCCACGUCCCUGCCCCCCAGCCGGACGCAGAAAAGAGGACUCCACAGUCCAGCAAGAGUCAAAGCAUAGCUUGUUUAAUUUUUAUACAUUUUCCUCUUUUUUUUGCCUUUUAUUGAAUCUUUUAUGGAACCCCCUUUUUUCAGUUUUUUUUUGUGUAUGUGUUUUGUUUUGUUUUUUGCAUAGGGAAACAAACAAAAUAACAGCCAGAGUCACUUUCCGUAAAUGGUGCUCAGGCAGGCGGGCGGCGGAACUGAAUGAGUGCACGUGUACACGGUUAUGAUCGCACGGGUCCCGUCCCCGGCCCUGCCACGUGUGGUAUGGGGACAGGGGAUGGCGGGGCACAGGCCUAAGGGCGCCUUCCCCCGCCCCGGGUUCUGAGCACAGGUGUGUGUGCGUGUGUGUGUGUGCGUGCGUGUGUGUGUGUGUGUUUCCGGGGUGGGAAGCAAGCAGAAAGCGAGAAAACAGAACUAUCCUGGUAUUAUGAGUAAAAUACAAAAUGGAUACAAGAACAACAAUCUCAAAAAAAAAAAAAAAAAAAUCUCGGAGGGAAGAUGAAAGAGAAUCAACACCCGAAAAUGAAGGGGGAAGAAAAGAGGGAAAGAGAAAAGAAUCCAUGGAGAGGAAAAGGCCGCCUCCUUCCUGCUGCCCCCAAGCUGAGCCCAUCCUGCUGCGGCCCUCAGAUCGCUGCUUCUCCAGGUGCUGGGGUGCACGGGCUGGCACCCCCAGACGUGCAAGGGGCCUUGGGUUCCGAGGGACAGCAGCCUGACAGGGACUUGUGAUAGGAAGAUGGGGUGCAGAUGCGUUUGGGGGACAGGAGACUGGGGGUGCACGGCUUCCUCCCUCUCUGGAGCCCUGAUCCCCACUGGAUUCAUCCUCUCCUUCCCGACCCCCUCCUCCUCUGUGCCGGGGUGGGGGGAGCCCCAAAACCACACCAGCAGACCUGUGAGGCACUGCUGGGAAAAGUCUAAUUUGGUAUCAUGGGCAACAAGUUCGCGGUGUGGUUCUGACUCUGCCUCCCUGCCUCGUCUAGGGGCCGGGGUGAUGGUCUGAUCCCUGCACCCCGAAACACUCAGGGGGGUAUGGAGCGGUGCGUGCGGGGAAAUAUCCGCAGAGCAGGAAGGGGGCAGCCGGUGAGGGUGACCUUGCUCCUGACCACUCCACAAAACCAAAGCGAGAGCCAAGUCGGGGUCUCAGAGACAGGUUUGGGCCGAGAUCAAAAACAGCCACUGUGUCCCCUGCAUUGUGAGAGAACAAUGCCGAUCCUGUGUAUAAAUGUUCGCAUGCUCACUACAGCCUCCCUGCCCGGGGGAGCCAAGCGCCACAGAGGCCUGGACGUUGCAGUCUCGGGUGGCCCCAGGACCCUGCCUUGCGUGGGACGCUCCCGGGACCUGGAAUUAUCACUCUGAGAAGACGGGGUGGGGGAGCCGAGGGGGCCCAAUACCCCAUGCCGAAAGGCUGCCUGGCGCGGGCCUGCCCUCCGCGCCCGAGGAAGGGCUCCGGGGCGUGCAGAGCUUUGGUCAAGAUCAAAGCAAAGGAAGCUGGAAUUAAAGAAGAGAAAGGAAAAAGCAAGAACAAGGAAAACAAAUCAAAGACAAGACAACAUCCUGGCCGGCCGCCCGGACAGAGCCCUGCGACUCAGGGUCCCCCAUGUCCCUCCAGAGGCUGAGCACGGCCCCAGUAUGGACAGACAGAUAUUGCAUAUAUGGACGGGUUUUUGUCUUUCAUAGCAGACGCUCUUCAUUUUCAUAGCUGGAAGACGGAGUUCGGGGACUAGGGCGCGGAGGCCCCCCCAGGCUGUCUCGGGAUUGGUGGGAAGUAAGGUGCUUUAGUGAGGAGGACGG
Heterocephalus glaber (naked mole-rat) is the source of this 2454-nucleotide long non-coding RNA. The record is from Ensembl. Lineage: Eukaryota; Metazoa; Chordata; Mammalia; Rodentia; Bathyergidae.